Molecule: ribosomal RNA, 497 nt
Filed under: uncultured bacterium
Lineage: Bacteria
Description: partial 16S ribosomal RNA
Rfam family: Bacterial small subunit ribosomal RNA
Source: RNAcentral
GAUGAACGCUGGCGGCGUGCCUAAUACAUGCAAGUCGAGCGAACGGACGAGAAGCUUGCUUCUCUGAUGUUAGCGGCGGACGGGUGAGUAACACGUGGAUAACCUACCUAUAAGGCUGGGAUAACUUCGGGAAACCGUAGCUAAUACCGGAUAAUAUUUUGAACCGCAUGGUUCAAAAGUGAAAGACGGUCUUGCUGUCACUUAUCGAUGGAUCCGCGCUGCAUUAGCUAGUUGGUAAGGUAACGGCUUACCAAGGCAACUAUGCAUAGCCGACCUGAGAGGGUGAACGGCCACACUGGAACUGAGACACGGUCCAGACUCCUACGGGAGGCAGCAGUAGGGAAUCUUCCGCAAUGGGCGAAAGCCUGACGGAGCAACGCCGCGUGAGUGAUGAAGGUCUUCGGAUCGUAAAACUCUGUUAUUAGGGAAGAACAUAUGUGUAAGUAACUGUGCACAUCUUGACGGUACCUAAUCAGAAAGCCACGGCUAACUACGUG